RNAcentral lists this ribosomal RNA (253 nucleotides) under uncultured bacterium. RNAcentral describes it as "partial 16S ribosomal RNA". It matches the Rfam family "Bacterial small subunit ribosomal RNA", at positions 524 to 776 of the family's 1533-position model. The record is from RNAcentral.
UACGUAGGGUGCAAGCGUUAAUCGGAAUUACUGGGCGUAAAGCGUGCGCAGGCGGUUUUGUAAGUCUGUCGUGAAAUCCCCGGGCUCAACCUGGGAACUGCAUUUGUGACUGCACAGCUGGAGUGCGGCAGAGGGGGAUGGAAUUCCGCGUGUAGCAGUGAAAUGCGUAGAUAUGCGGAGGAACACCGAUGGCGAAGGCAAUCCCCUGGGCCUGCACUGACGCUCAUGCACGAAAGCGUGGGGAGCAAACAGG